RNAcentral lists this unclassified non-coding RNA (191 nucleotides) under soil metagenome. RNAcentral describes it as "partial internal transcribed spacer 1". The record is from RNAcentral.
AUAUGGAUUAGUUCUGUAAAGGAACAUUAUCCUCCACCCAUUGUUUUACGAUUUGGUUGCUUCGGCGAGUCGGUUGAAGGGUUUGAUAUCAAUAUCAAAACCACGACCCAUGACCCAUUGGUCAUCAAUGAGUACUCGCCGAAGAUUACAAACACAUUAAUAAUGAUGUCUGAGUACUUUAUUAAAAGUAA